UACGGGGGGGGUAAGCGUUGUUCGGAAUUACUGGGCGUAAAGGGCUCGUAGGCGGUUUUGUAAGUCAGAUGUGAAAUCCCCGAGCUCAACUUGGGAACUGCGUUUGAAACUACAAGACUAGAAUAUGUCAGAGGGGGGUAGAAUUCCACGUGUAGCAGUGAAAUGCGUAGAGAUGUGGAGGAAUACCAAUGGCGAAGGCAGCCCCCUGGGAUAAUAUUGACGCUCAUGCACGAAAGCGUGGGGAGCAAACAGG
Molecule: ribosomal RNA, 253 nt
Filed under: uncultured bacterium
Lineage: Bacteria
Description: partial 16S ribosomal RNA
Rfam family: Bacterial small subunit ribosomal RNA
Source: RNAcentral